Molecule: long non-coding RNA, 647 nt
Filed under: Anas platyrhynchos platyrhynchos (common mallard)
Lineage: Eukaryota; Metazoa; Chordata; Aves; Anseriformes; Anatidae
Description: lncRNA (ENSAPLG00000029128.1)
Source: RNAcentral
GUUAUAUCACCACAAGUCAUAGUAGAUGUAAGCACUUACUAGUGCUAUAGUUACUUAUUAGUAAUAUAAUAGUGCAUUAUUUACAGAUAAUUAAAUUUAUAUGUACUAAGAAGCAGGAGAUUUGUCAUAUUUCAUAUAUGUAUGUUCUGUAUGUAUUUGAGGUAUAUACAUGUAUACUAUGUAUGCGGUUUAGAAUAAAAAUGUUAAAUAGUUUGUACAAAUCUGGUUUAUGUUAAGCACACAGUUUGCUAUUUUUUCCCCCUUAUUUCAUGCUGAUUUUGUUCUAGGUGUCUUGGUUGAAUGGAUUUUUUGAUUUUGAUAGCCUUGUUUUGUGGGUAAGGAACUCCUUGCUCAGACAGAAUUUUCAACCGUUACCUUGAGAGCAGAUGUAUAAUUUUAAAUUGGAAUAUUCAGGCACUGAGUUACAGCUUGUAACUGUUGUACUUUGCUCUCUGUUUCUGGCACAGGAAGGCUCAAAGAUAUCUACAUGUAACAUCCCAAGUUUAAAAUGGUUACCUAUACAAAUAACACAUUUUAAGAAGUCAAGCCUCAAGGAACUGUUAGGUGGAAAUAUGUAUAAAUGGGAAAAACGACAGAGGUUAUCCUGGAGAUGCUCAGACAGGAGACAGCAAAAACUAUUUAAAUGA